GUGUGCAACCUGCCUUUAUCAGGGGGAUAGCCUUUCGAAAGGAAGAUUAAUACCCCAUAAUAUAUUAUUCGGCAUCGGGUGAUAUUGAAAACUACGGUGGAUAGAGAUGGGCACGCGCAAGAUUAGCUAGUUGGUGAGGUAACGGCUCACCAAGGCGACGAUCUUUAGGGGGCCUGAGAGGGUGAUCCCCCACACUGGUACUGAGACACGGACCAGACUCCUACGGGAGGCAGCAGUGAGGAAUAUUGGACAAUGGGUGGAAGCCUGAUCCAGCCAUCCCGCGUGCAGGAAGACGGCCCUAUGGGUUGUAAACUGCUUUUAUCUGGGGAUAAACCUACUUACGUGUAAGUAGCUGAAGGUACCAGAAAAAUAAGCACCGGCUAACUCCGUGCCAGCAGCCGCGGUAAUACGGAGGGUGCAAGCGUUAUCCGGAUUUAUUGGGUUUAAAGGGUCCGUAGGCGGACUGAUAAGUCAGUGGUGAAAUCCGACAGCUUAACUGUCGAACUGCCAUUGAUACUGUUAUUCUUGAGUAAGGUUGAAGUGGC
RNAcentral lists this ribosomal RNA (545 nucleotides) under Elizabethkingia anophelis. RNAcentral's name for it is "bacterial SSU rRNA". It matches the Rfam family "Bacterial small subunit ribosomal RNA", at positions 117 to 661 of the family's 1533-position model. Lineage: Bacteria; Pseudomonadati; Bacteroidota; Flavobacteriia; Flavobacteriales; Weeksellaceae. The record is from RNAcentral.